This 338-nucleotide unclassified non-coding RNA is filed under the name soil metagenome. RNAcentral's name for it is "partial contains 5.8S ribosomal RNA, internal transcribed spacer 2, and large subunit ribosomal RNA". The stretch from base 1 to 120 matches the Rfam family "5.8S ribosomal RNA", at positions 35 to 154 of the family's 154-position model. The record is from RNAcentral.
GAUGAAGAACGUAGCGAAAUGCGAUACGUAGUGUGAAUUGCAGAAUUCGGUGAAUCAUCGAAUCUUUGAACGCACAUUGCACCUCUCGGUAUUCCGGGAGGUAUGCCUGUUCGAGCGUCAUUUGUACCCUCAAGCUCUGCUUGGUGUUGGGUGUUUGUUCCGCCUCUGUGUGUGAACUCGCCUCAAAACAAUUGGCAGCCGGCGUACUUGUUUCGGAGCGCAGCACAUUUUGCGAUCCAGAUCAACGUACAGCGGCAUCCAAGAAGCCUUAUUUAACGCUCUUGACCUCGGAUCAGGUAGGGAUACCCGCUGAACUUAAGCAUAUAAUAAGCGGAGGA